RNAcentral lists this ribosomal RNA (1319 nucleotides) under metagenome. RNAcentral describes it as "bacterial LSU rRNA". It matches the Rfam family "Bacterial large subunit ribosomal RNA", at positions 1627 to 2925 of the family's 2925-position model. The record is from RNAcentral.
UCAGCUGUAGAAAAACCGUACCGCAAACCGACACAGGUAGGCAGGGUGAGAAUCCCAAGGCGCUUGAGAGAACUCGGGUGAAGGAACUAGGCAAAAUGGCACCGUAACUUCGGGAGAAGGUGCGCCUCUUGGUGUGGUCACGUGCGUGACUGAGCAUCGAGGGGUCGCAGUAACCUGGCCGCUGCGACUGUUUAUCAAAAACACAGCACUCUGCAAACACGAAAGUGGACGUAUAGGGUGUGACGCCUGCCCGGUGCUGGAAGGUUAAUUGAUGGGGUCAGCCGCAAGGCGAAGCUCUUGAUCGAAGCCCCAGUAAACGGCGGCCGUAACUAUAACGGUCCUAAGGUAGCGAAAUUCCUUGUCGGGUAAGUUCCGACCUGCACGAAUGGCGUAACGUCAUCGGCGCUGUCUCCACCCGAGACUCAGUGAAAUUGAAAUCGCUGUGAUGAUGCAGCGUUCCCGCGGCAAGACGGAAAGACCCCGUGAACCUUUACUAUAGCUUUACACUGAACGUUGAGUUCUUCUGUGUAGGAUAGGUGGGAGGCUAUGAAACCAGGACGCUAGUUCUGGUGGAGCCAUCCUUGAAAUACCACCCUGAAGUGCUUGACGUUCUAACCUAGGUCCGUAAUCCGGAUCGGGGACCGUGUAUGGUGGGUAGUUUGACUGGGGCGGUCUCCUCCCAAAGAGUAACGGAGGAGCACGAAGGUACGCUCAGCGCGGUCGGACCUCGCGCACUGUGUGCAAAGGCAUAAGCGUGCUUGACUGCGAGAUCGACGGAUCAAGCAGGUACGAAAGUAGGUCUUAGUGAUCCGGUGGUUCUGUAUGGAAGGGCCAUCGCUCAACGGAUAAAAGGUACUCCGGGGAUAACAGGCUGAUACCGCCCAAGAGUUCAUAUCGACGGCGGUGUUUGGCACCUCGAUGUCGGCUCAUCACAUCCUGGGGCUGUAGCCGGUCCCAAGGGUAUGGCUGUUCGCCAUUUAAAGUGGUACGCGAGCUGGGUUCAGAACGUCGUGAGACAGUUCGGUCCCUAUCUGUCGUGGGCGUUGGAGAUUUGAGGGGGGCUGCUCCUAGUACGAGAGGACCGGAGUGGACGUUCCGCUGGUGUUCGGGUUGUCAUGCCCAUGGCAUUGCCCGGUAGCUACGAACGGAAGUGAUAACCGCUGAAAGCAUCUAAGCGGGAAGCACGCCCCAAGAUGAGAUCUCCCGAGAGCUUGACUCUCCUAAAGGCACCAUCAAGACUAGGUGGUUGAUAGGCACGGUGUGGAAGUGCAGCAAUGCAUUGAGCUUACGUGUACUAAUGAGCCGUGAGGCUUGACCAA